CCACUGACAAAACUGCUGUUUUUACUGUUUUGGUAGGGGGAAGUUUUUUCAAAAUCUCCCCUAUGUGAUGGAAUUGUGCUCCAGGGAAGCUGUCCAUCUGGAUUUCUUCACUGGCAAAUUGUGGCACUCGAGCUAGAUUUGAAUCUCCUAUUAUUAUAAUAGCUUUUCUAGGUGUGAGGUGCCAAUUCCUAAUUUUAUGCUCCGUUCUCUGGUGGACCGUGGGUUCACAGUCGGAGGUCACCGCGGCCCCAGAGUGCAGACGAGGAGGCCGCAGCUGCUCCGGCUGCUUAGACCGUGGUUCUGGAGCUGGAGGGGGAGAGGAGGAGACAGUGAUUUGAGAAGGGGAUUGUGGCUGGGACAGCGUUAGGGGGUCCUCAAAGGUCUGCAGGGGGGCCCCCUGUGUUUCAUGCCACAGCCCUCCAGAAGAGUGGAUGACGCUGUCGAUACAGGAGGUAUCUGCAAAGGAGAAGCGAUAUUCAUUCUUGCAGUGUGUGGAUGAGCCGGUGUGGGUUCCACCGGUUCCUGUGGUUUGGCA
Molecule: long non-coding RNA, 535 nt
Organism: Lates calcarifer (barramundi perch)
Lineage: Eukaryota; Metazoa; Chordata; Actinopteri; Centropomidae
Exons: 3
Source: RefSeq, a predicted model, not a curated record